Myotis lucifugus (little brown bat) is the source of this 4968-nucleotide long non-coding RNA. RefSeq lists it as uncharacterized. The transcript is spliced from 2 exons. The record is from RefSeq and is a predicted model, not a curated record. Lineage: Eukaryota; Metazoa; Chordata; Mammalia; Chiroptera; Vespertilionidae.
CUGCCUGCCGAGGUGCCUGCUCCCCGAUGACGCACUCCAAACCCGGACCUUCCACACCAAACCUCGGAGCCCAGGGGCUGGCGGGCUCUGCUCUCAACCCUGUGGACGUCGCCCUUCGACCGGCCCCUCUGGCCAGCCGGGUGCUGCACAACUCAGAGCCGUGAAGCCCAAGCGGAGCUGCCAGGCCAGGCCCAGCCAUGGAGGUUCCAGGACUUGGCCAAACUUGUUGAACUCGGUCUCGGCGGGGGUGGGGCCGGCCGCUCACUGCUGAGGGCAGGGGGACUCGAGAUGGUGGCCCGGGCAGCGGCCCCGGGAACUGGAGCUCUUUGCAGAGGGCAAAAGGGUCGCCGGGGAGCGAAGGCCCUUUCCGGGGCCCCAGGACGAUCUGGAGCCCUGAAGAGGCCCCAGGAGACGGUGUGCCCUCCGGUCCCGAAGCCCCCUCCCUCCGGCCGGCCUGGGAGAUUUCAGGAUCACAGACUUCUUAGAAGUUAGCUCCGACGUAGCUCACCACCAUCCCCUUGUGAGCAUUCGGAUUUCCAUUGUGCAGAUGCAGAAACUGAGGUCAGAUACCUUCGGCGGCUUGCCCGGGAUCUGCAGUGGGGCAGGGCCGGGACUCCAACUCCAGCCGGGCCUGCCAAUCUGAGGCGCAUUCGGAAGCCUGGGACCCACACGCGGUAGGGGUGGGGCAAAAAGGCAAGAGCUCCUCCCCCUCCGCGUUCUUAUUCCCACAUUUUGUGUCACUCCUGUAUUCACUUUUAAGUCCCUUCGCCCCUCCACCGCCUGUGUCGGUCACCAGCCUGGGUGGAUUUUUCCAGAUCCCCACGAUGCCACCCCACCCUAAACAAAUCCCUUCUUUCUCGCGCCCGUGUCCCCACCCCGGCAUUUUUUCGGAGCCUGCCCUCUGUUAUUUAUAUCCACUGGAGCGGCCCGAGAAUGUUCCGAAGCUGACCUAAUCGCCACCUGCUCGGCCUCCCCUCCCCUCCCGCUCGCUCCUGCGCUGGUGACCCAGCGGCCGCGUCCUCCCCUGGCAGGCGAGAGGGGGCUCAGGCCGGCGAGGGCGGACGCCCGGGCGCUCCGAGGAUCCAGACCGCGCAAAUCCGCUCGGGGUUGGAGAGCCGGGUGCCCUCCCAGGAGUGCGCCCUCAGUGGGGGGACGCGGAGCUCUGGGAAGCCCAGGGUCACGUUCUCUCUUCUUACCCACUCGAUACACACCGACACCCCCCACCCCGCCAUCCCCGACACACACACACACUCACAGAGGAGUGUGAGUACGUGUGCGCGGAUUUUUAAACCGUAGCUUUAAAAAUAGCGAAAUUAUGUUUCUAGUAAACCUGGGAGGAAUUACUGGCGCGUUCUCUGUGCAGAUAAAUCCGCUCAUAAAUUGGAAAGGGCCAGAAGGGAAUGAAUGAAGGUAAUUGCAGGGGGUAGUAUGAGCUGCUGCGGGUGGACUUGCUCCGUAGUCCCGGUGAGAGGGCGAAACUGCCUCCCCAAGACCCAGUGAGGCACCCAAGACCAUAGGUCUGAGGCCUCAGCCGCUUGGCAAGUGGUGCCUGAGUAGUGGGUCCUUGCCUGCGUUCUCACAAGGGUGUGUGCCCAGCAGGAUGAACUUCUGAAACCAGGCUCAGCACCCACUCUCGGCUGCGUCUUGGACAAGUCCCUUUUCUCCGUGUCUGUUUCUACCUCUAUAAGGCAUGACAGGUGACCGGCUGGCCUCCCAAAUGGGCCGUGUGCCCGGCUAAUUGCGGAUUGUAAAACAACUGCAAAUGAGAGGAGCUGGGGUAGUGUCUGAUGACAGUCAGGGUGGUUUGUGUUAUUUAAAAUCUGUUAACAUCCCACCUAGUGCCUGAGGGCCUUUAGGCACCUAGACAGAAAGUGUGAAAACACAAGAAUGAAAUUAAUUACAGGAGCCACUUAUUAAAACCCCAUUAAAAAGCAAGGCUGCAAGCCAGGCCCUGGGGUCUGGGGAAGCCAGGUCACAGAGACUCAGAAAACAGGGCUGUUAAUGAGAUCACGAGGAGUGGAUGCCGGUGUAAAACAUCUGGCUUCCCUUGGGUUCAAUCUGGAAGCAGAAAGCAGAAAUGUCGCAGCUGAUCUUAAUUGCCCCUAAGGUACCAUAGGGAGAAAAAAUAAACCCCAACCCAGAGCACACCAAGCUGCUUCAAAGGGGAAAAAGACAGAGCUGCUCUUGAAAGACAACCCCCUGUUAGGGCUGCCCCCAGGGCUCAGAUUUCUAUGCUCCACAGCCAGAGCCCCUACACACUCACACUGCUCUAUCAGUGGAGUGCCCGGCUUGAAGAGACUUCAAGAUGAGAUGCCCAAGGUCAGAGGGCUGGAUAGACAGAGACCUACAGACGUGGUUUGGCUUGAGGCACCAAGUGGCAGGUUGGUCCAGAGCCCAAGUUUGAAACAUUCACAGACUCACUCACCUUGAGCAUCUGGAAUGUCCUAACCCCUGUGCCUUCACCUGUUUGUUUAUUUAUUUAGCCAUUCAUUUAUCCAACCAAGAAAACAUUUGAAUUUGUGCUCUAUGCUAAGCCCUAUGCUAGGGUAUUGGGAACACAAAGAUAAAUAAGGCAGGGCUCUAAGUGCACAAUAAUGAUUCCCUGUGGACAUGAAGUACUCUGGGAGAAGAGAGACAGAAGAGACUGCCUUCCAUGGGUGGUGACACUUGAUGGGUCUUGAUGAGCAGGAAUUCGUCAUGUGGAGAGGCAUUCUAGGCGGCAGUGCCAGGGUGUGCCAAGCCCCAGGGGUGUUAGCAUAUGACCCAGCAAUUCCACUUUUCGGUGUCUGUCCUAGACAAACGUGUACAAGUGCAUGAAAACAUACAAAGAUGUUUGCAUGUAGUAUUGUUUGCAAUAAGGGGAAACAGAAGACGAAUGUCCAUAGGAGUGCCAUGGUUAAAUAACCUAAAGUUCAUUCAUGCUUUGGAUUACUCUGCAGCACCUAAAAUACACGUUAUCUAGAGAUGUGUUCUUCUAUGAAGAUCUCCAAGGCACUGUUGAGUGAAAAAAAAAGCAAAGUGCAGCACACACAAAAUAUUCAGAGAGAAUAUUCACCAAAUUUAUUUCUGUGAUUAUCUCUAGUGAGAUGUAUAGAAUUGGUAAAGGAGACGUUUGUAAGGUUAGAAAAUUAACAGUGAGAAUGUACUUAUGUGUAAAUUGUAUAUUUAAAAUAAAGAGUCUUUUAGGAGAUGGUGAGUGGGUCUUAUUGUCUAAAACAGUGCUGUCCAAAUAGAAUCUUUAGCAGCAAGGGAAACAUUCUAUAGCCUCACUGUCCAAUGCUGUAGCCAUUGAAAUGUGAUUAGUGUGGUUAAGAAACUGAAUUUUAAAUUUCAUCUAAUUUUAAUUAACUAAAAAUGUAAUAGCCACAAAGCUAGUGGCAACUGAAUUGUACAGUUCUGGUCUAGAAUAUUGAGUUUAGGAUCUGGUGGAGGCAGAUGAGAGAUGAGGCUGGUAAGAUAGGUUGGGAUGGAAUGAAUGGUGAAGCUUUGCAAGGUGGGCUGAAGAAUUUGGACUUUAUCCUACAGGCGCAGUGGGCAGUGUGGAUGAGAGUGACUAGAUAAAGGUAACUCUGGCAGCCCUGCAGAGGGUAGAUUAGAGUGGGCAGAGGGCUGAAGGCUGCCGUGUUUCUCUCCGUGGCCUCUGGACAUUGCCCCAGCAUUCCUGACUGGCAGCUGAAUAAAGUAUUCUAACUCAACAGCUAUGUUUUUAAGAUCUCAGGCAACCCCAGAGUUAUUGAGAAGGGUUAACCUCAGUGGGGGAGGCUGUUUUUGUGUUGGAACGCAGGAAGAACAGCAGAUGGAUGACAUUAGAGUGAAAAUGCAUAGCAGGUUUCAGAGUGGGGACUUUAAUGAAAGCUUCUCCAGGGUCAGGAAUUUGCCUGGAGCAGAUUCGUUGGAAAUGCCUCUGCAGAGCCCAGGUGUACAGGAGCGUUCUGCUCAGGAAGCCUGCCCUGGCUCGUGUGGGCCUUUCCCUGAAGUCCACAGGGUCCUCCUGAAAGAAUUCUAGUGGAAAAUCCACUCCGUUGUCUGCCGUUCAUGGAACACCCACUAUGCCAGAUACCAUGCCUGGUGCUGGGUCCACAAUGCAAACACGGCACACAUGGUCCCUGACUUCAUGGAGUUUUCCACUAAAAUCAAAUUAAGGCCCAAAUACAUAGUUACCCUUUGUAGUAAGUGUUUUAAGGGAAACAGGAACAUUCAAAGGACAUGGUACUGAGAGAAUAAGAAAGGGAGCAUUAAGAAUAUAGGCGCCCUAGCCAGUUUGGCUCAGUGGAUAGAGCGUCGGCCUGCAGACUGAAGGGUCCCAGGUUUGAUUCCGGUCAAGGGCAUGUACCUUGGUUGCAGGCAUAUCCCCAGUAGGGGGUGUGCAGGAGGCAGCUGAUCGAUGUUUCUCUCUCAUCGAUGUUUCUAACUUUCUAUCUCUCUCCCUUCCUCCCUGUAAAAAAUCAAUAAAAUAUAUAUUUUUAAAAAAAUAUAGGAGGAUCAGAGAAGACCUUUCCGGAAGUUUAAGCUUCUCUACCCACAGAAGCCCCCAAAACCCAAAAGACAAGUAGAAGUCAUCUAGGUGAAGAGGGAACCUAAGAGAGAACAUUCUAGUUAGAAGGACUGAGGUGUGCAAAGGCCACGACAUGGAGAUGACCUUCUAGAGAAGAAGGGUAGAGUGGGUAGGGCAUGGUGAAUGAGAGGGGGAGGGAAGAGGGACGGGCGGUACCCAGACACCACAGGCAUUGUCUUAUUCUGAGUGCAGAAAUGAAGCAGAAGAGAGACCUCAGUGUGUUUCUGGAUGUCAUGUGAGGAAUAGAUUAGAGCAGGGGAUCGGCAAACUGUGGCCUGGGCCACCUACAAGCUAAGGAUGGGUUUUAUAUGUUUAAACAGUUGAAAAAUAUCAAAAGGAGAAUAAUAUUUUGUAACACAUGAAGGUUCCAGGAAAUUCAAAUGUCAGUGUCCCCAAAUAAAGUUUUAUUGGAA